AAAAGUCGUAACAAGGUCUCCGUUGGUGAACCAGCGGAGGGAUCAUUACCGAGUUUACAACUCCCAAACCCAACUGUGAACCUUAACCUCUCGUUGCUUCGGCGGGAACGCCCCGGCUAGCCCGGACCCAGGCGCCCGCCGGAGACCCCUCAAACCCAUGUUAUCUCGUUUGAUAUCUGAGUGAAAACGCAAAAUAAAUCAAAACUUUCAACAACGGAUCUCUUGGCUCUG
Molecule: unclassified non-coding RNA, 231 nt
Filed under: fungal sp.
Lineage: Eukaryota; Fungi
Description: partial internal transcribed spacer region
Rfam family: Eukaryotic small subunit ribosomal RNA (bases 1-48)
Source: RNAcentral